RNAcentral lists this ribosomal RNA (639 nucleotides) under uncultured Akkermansia sp. RNAcentral describes it as "bacterial SSU rRNA". It matches the Rfam family "Bacterial small subunit ribosomal RNA", at positions 36 to 698 of the family's 1533-position model. Lineage: Bacteria; Pseudomonadati; Verrucomicrobiota; Verrucomicrobiia; Verrucomicrobiales; Akkermansiaceae. The record is from RNAcentral.
UUGGCGGCGUGGUUAAGACAUGCAAGUCGAACGAGAGAAUUGCUAGCUUGCUAAUAAUUCUCUAGUGGCGCACGGGUGAGUAACACGUGAGUAACCUGCCCCCGAGAGCGGGAUAGCCCUGGGAAACUGGGAUUAAUACCGCAUAGUAUCGAAAGAUUAAAGCAGCAAUGCGCUUGGGGAUGGGCUCGCGGCCUAUUAGUCAGUUGGUGAGGUAACGGCUCACCAAGGCGAUGACGGGUAGCCGGUCUGAGAGGAUGUCCGGCCACACUGGAACUGAGACACGGUCCAGACACCUACGGGUGGCAGCAGUCGAGAAUCAUUCACAAUGGGGGAAACCCUGAUGGUGCGACGCCGCGUGGGGGAAUGAAGGUCUUCGGAUUGUAAACCCCUGUCAUGUGGGAGCAAAUUAAAAAGAUAGUACCACAAGAGGAAGAGACGGCUAACUCUGUGCCAGCAGCCGCGGUAAUACAGAGGUCUCAAGCGUUGUUCGGAAUCACUGGGCGUAAAGCGUGCGUAGGCUGUUUCGUAAGUCGUGUGUGAAAGGCGCGGGCUCAACCCGCGGACGGCACAUGAUACUGCGAGACUAGAGUAAUGGAGGGGGAACCGGAAUUCACGGUGUAGCAAAUCACUAGUGAAUUC